This 460-nucleotide ribosomal RNA is filed under the name uncultured bacterium. RNAcentral's name for it is "partial 16S ribosomal RNA". It matches the Rfam family "Bacterial small subunit ribosomal RNA", at positions 338 to 795 of the family's 1533-position model. The record is from RNAcentral.
CCUACGGGGGGCAGCAGUGAGGAAUAUUGGUCAAUGGCCGGAAGGCUGAACCAGCCAUGCCGCGUGAAGGUCAGUGCCCUAUGGGCGUUAAACUUCUUUUGUGCGGGAGCAAUAAUGGUCACGUGUGGCCAGACGAGAGUACCGUACGAAUAAGCAUCGGCUAACUCCGUGUCAGCAGCCGCGGUAAUACGGGGGAUGCAAGCGUUAUCCGGAUUUAUUGGGUUUAAAGGGUGCGUAGGCUGUGAGGUAAGUCAGCGGUGAAAUGCCCCCGCUCAACGGGGUGAAGUGCCAUUGAUACUGCCUGGCUGGAAUGCGGAUGCCGUGGGAGGAAUGUGUGGUGUAGCGGUGAAAUGCAUAGAUAUCACACAGAACACCGAUUGCGAAGGCAUCUCACGAAUCCGCGAUUGACGCUGAUGCACGAAAGCGUGGGUAUCAAACAGGAUUAGAUACCCUUGUAGUC